AUACGUAGGUGGCGAGCGUUGUCCGGAAUUACUGGGCGUAAAGAGCUCGUAGGUGGUUUGUCGCGUCGUCUGUGAAAUUCCGGGGCUUAACUCCGGGCGUGCAGGCGAUACGGGCAUAACUUGAGUACUGUAGGGGAGACUGGAAUUCCUGGUGUAGCGGUGAAAUGCGCAGAUAUCAGGAGGAACACCGGUGGCGAAGGCGGGUCUCUGGGCAGUAACUGACGCUGAGGAGCGAAAGCAUGGGUAGCGAACAGGAUUAGAUACCCUGGUAGUCCAUGCCGUAAACGGUGGGCGCUAGGUGUAGGGGUCUUCCACGACUUCUGUGCCGUAGCUAACGCAUUAAGCGCCCCGCCUGGGGAGUACGGCCGCAAGGCUAAAACUCAAAUGAAUUGACGGGG
This 398-nucleotide ribosomal RNA is filed under the name uncultured bacterium. Its description in RNAcentral is "partial 16S ribosomal RNA". It matches the Rfam family "Bacterial small subunit ribosomal RNA", at positions 523 to 918 of the family's 1533-position model. The record is from RNAcentral.